This is a long non-coding RNA of Oncorhynchus tshawytscha (Chinook salmon), 263 nucleotides long. Lineage: Eukaryota; Metazoa; Chordata; Actinopteri; Salmoniformes; Salmonidae. The record is from Ensembl.
AACUAGUAUUUAAACCCAGGUCGGUCACACUCAGAGUAGUUUGUUAAUAACUAGUAUUUAUACCCAGGUCGGUCACACUCAGAGUAGUUUGUUAAUAACUAGUAUUUAUACCCAGGUUGGUCACACUCAGAGUAGUUUGUUAAUAACUAGUAUUUAUACCCAGGUUGGUCACACUCAGAGUAGUUUGUUAAUAACUAGUAUUUAUACCCAGGUCGGUCACACUCAGAGUAGUUUGUUAAUAAUAACUAGUAUUUAAACCCAGG